GCACUGGGUAAAGUUUGUCCUA
This 22-nucleotide microRNA is filed under the name Drosophila ananassae. Its description in RNAcentral is "dan-miR-309". Its record names the gene dan-miR-309. The record is from miRBase by way of RNAcentral. RNAcentral also lists the same sequence under 5 other names. Lineage: Eukaryota; Metazoa; Arthropoda; Insecta; Diptera; Drosophilidae.